UAUGAAAGCAAAAAAUUAUGGCGGUAUUUUAAGCUUUUCAGAGGAAUUUGCUCUUUAAUGGAUAAAACACCAAAAUCUUACUUAGAUUUGUGAUUUCAAUUUGUAUACCACUAUUAAAACAAUUUAUAACUUUAAUUGUUUAAAUUUACAAAACUAAAAUAUAUUAAGUCAAGGUGCAGUAAAAAUUUAAGGAUGAAGUGAAUUACAUUACUUUUUAGUGAGAUAAGUUUAUAACAGUAUUUAGGAUUUGAAAGUAAAAUUAAAAU
RNAcentral lists this ribosomal RNA (266 nucleotides) under Rhipicephalus sanguineus (brown dog tick). RNAcentral's name for it is "partial 12S ribosomal RNA". The record is from RNAcentral. Lineage: Eukaryota; Metazoa; Arthropoda; Arachnida; Ixodida; Ixodidae.